This 483-nucleotide ribosomal RNA is filed under the name uncultured bacterium. Its description in RNAcentral is "bacterial SSU rRNA". It matches the Rfam family "Bacterial small subunit ribosomal RNA", at positions 328 to 802 of the family's 1533-position model. The record is from RNAcentral.
AUGAAACACUCCUACGGGAGGCAGCAGUGGGGAAUUUUGGACAAUGGGCGAAAGCCUGAUCCAGCCAUGCCGCGUGAGUGAAGAAGGCCUUCGGGUUGUAAAGCUCUUUUAGUCGGAAAGAAAGAGUUGCAAUGAAUAAUUGUGAUUUAUGACGGUACCGACAGAAAAAGCACCGGCUAACUACGUGCCAGCAGCCGCGGUAAUACGUAGGGUGCGAGCGUUAAUCGGAAUUACUGGGCGUAAAGGGUGCGCAGGCGGUCUUGCAAGUCAGAUGUGAAAGCCCCGGGCUUAACCUGGGAAUUGCGUUUGAAACUACAAGGCUAGAGUGCAGCAGAGGGGAGUGGAAUUCCAUGUGUAGCAGUGAAAUGCGUAGAGAUGUGGAAGAACACCGAUGGCGAAGGCAGCUCCCUGGGUUGACACUGACGCUCAUGCACGAAAGCGUGGGGAGCAAACAGGAUUAGAUACCCUAGUAGUCCGAAGUUC